UCAAGGAAAAGUGCCAAACAGAAGU
This 25-nucleotide non-coding RNA is filed under the name Rattus norvegicus (Norway rat). The record is from RNAcentral. Lineage: Eukaryota; Metazoa; Chordata; Mammalia; Rodentia; Muridae.